Numida meleagris (helmeted guineafowl) is the source of this 3070-nucleotide long non-coding RNA. RefSeq lists it as uncharacterized. The transcript has 4 exons. The record is from RefSeq and is a predicted model, not a curated record. NCBI's taxonomy places the organism in Eukaryota, Metazoa, Chordata, Aves, Galliformes, Numididae.
GACCAGAGGAUGGUUUUAACACUGAUUGCUAAUUAGCACUUUGUGAAGGUAGUUUCUUGACUUCCCCUUAUAAUGGAGGAUGUUGUAAGUUAACGUUUAAAUCCAGUGUAACUGGCCUCAAAGAUUCAUCUGCAGAAGCCCUGAAGGUAGCUUAUCAUCAGAGCAAACUAAAACUGUAAAGCAUAGGUAUAUCCCAUUAAAAUCAAGUAGUAUCUUUAAAAUUCUUAAUUAUGUCCUGUCUGAGUGGGCAAAAGUUCUUACCUGGAGGAUCUCCUGCUUUGUAGAGCAGGCUGAGAAGCAGUUGUGCUAGGAGUGUGAUCGUGCAUCAUGUCCAGCGUGCCUGUGGGUCUCUUCUACUGCUGGCUGAAGGUUCAACCCUUUGGAUAAAGGAAACAUGGCUUUAAAACUGAGGAUCCUGAACCUUUCUGGAGUGGAUUUACAGCAGAAGUAACGGACAGACCCUUCUGCCCAUCCUCUUGGGGUUGGCACCCAGCAGCAGUGUUGCUCCUCUCAGGGGUUCACACAGCUCAGAGGCAUUGGUGAAUACUCUGCUAUCAACAAUCAAGUGUCUGGAUUUGAACAACCGAAAAUUCAGGGAAACUUCUUAUAGCAAACAGCAAGUGCUUGAGAAGCAUGCAUUCCUGGCUUGUGUCAGCACCAGUGCGGCCAGCAGGAGCAGGAGGGAAUUGUCCCUCUGCAGUCAGCACUGAUUCUAUGACUCUGUGAAAAGCAGAGGCUCAGGUGAUAAUGUGCCUCCUGAUGCUGGAGCUCUGAGGAAGAAAACCAACCAUCUCUAUCCUAGGAGCACCCAGCUACAUGAGCACACAUGGAGUGGUUCUAAUGCCUCUAAAGUUAAGCUUAGAUUAAUUACUAAUCUGAAUCACAUCAAUGUUUUCUGUACUGACUCUCUGGUUCAAAGGGAAGGAGAUGUUUUCCAUCAGACAUCUGUACGUGAUUUCUUUCCACCCUGAAGACAUAAAGAUGUGUAGAGGACCAUUAAUAGGAAUGGAUGUGCUUGAGGAGAAGGAACAAGCAGCUGGAGAAGGAGAUGUGAACAGACUGACCUGCUUCAGACUUGUCAUCAGGUUGUUUGUUCUGGUCACUACGACUGUCACAGGGAAUACAAGACCAUGGAUGGCCAUGGCUGCACGUGACUGGGAUAGUCAGAUAGGAAACCAACCUUUGCAAAUUCCCAUCACAGAUGACGAUGAUGAUUGCUAUUAGUGAUCAUGGUCCUGUUUUGCUUAUAUUCCUCUAGGAAUAUUUGCAUUAUACAUUAAGAUUGUAUUUCUUACAAUCUUAAUGUAUAAUGAAAAAAAAAAAAGAAGAAAAGUUGGGAAAAGGUAAUGACAGGUCAUUAACAACAUUAAUAAGUUGGGAUUAGAUGUGUGUUCCUAAGCUUAUGCUGAUGUACCACAAUGAUUCCUUUUGACUUCAGUGGUAUUUUCUUCAGAGCCUUAUAUCCCUAGGUGGAUCCACAUACGUCUGAGUAUCUGAAUGAUAAUAGCUAAUAAUAACCAAAAAGAAUGUCUAUUAAAAAAUAAGGAAAAGCAGCUCAUUGUGUGCACCCUUCAUCAGGUAUUAUUAGAAUAUGCCAUUGAUAAUGCAAGAAAAGAUCUUCAGCUACAGAAGAGAUGAAAUACUGUGAUGUGAAAAGGAUAAGCAUAAUAGCAGUGUGCUGGAGCCUGGUACCACACCACAGUAGCACCUGGAAACUGGCUCUGCUGUAAGACUACAGAAAGCAGCAGUGGUGCCACCUGAAGGGAUUCGCUUGUGCCUGGACCUUGUAUGACUUGCUUUAUCAUUUUCUUUUCUUGAAAGUAAGUACUAGCCAUGGCAGGACCCAGAGCUUAGAGACAGACAUUUCUGGAGCCUUAACCAGUCAUUUCCAGCAGUGUUUUGUGAGGCAGUAGCUGUACUGAUCUUUGUUCAGCAGAAAGGGAGGAGGCUGUUGGCAGGUCACUUGGCAGUCACCAGCAGCUACCAUCCAACCAGCACCAAGCGGGCAACAAAUGAGCAGAUGCACCAUAGAAUCAUUACGUUUGGAAAAGACCACUAAGAUCAUCUAGCCCUACCAUCAACCCAUUGCCACCAUGGCCACUAAACCUUGUCCCUCACCGUAACGCACCCAGUCGCAAGAAAUGGAUAGUUCUUAACACCUUCCAUCAGAUUAACAACUGGGACCAUGCAAAACAGGGAUUUACAGUCCGUAAGUGCACACAUACAUCAUUCCAAAACACAGGCCAAAGCCUGACAUUUCCUCAGUCCCUGUGGUUUUUAUCCAGAUCCUGGGAAGCCACCCUUCAGAUUGCUGUGCUACACACUGAUGAGUCAAUCUGUUGCAUUGGAUGUCUUCAGAGAAGGACGGAAAUAAUGAUCCUACUGUCCUGGGAAGAGCUGGAGAGGAAAUGUCAGCCAACGGCAUAUGCAAGUUCACCACGGCAACACCUCUGGAGCACUCGGUAAUGGAGAUGGAGAAAACAUGAAGCUUGGAAAGAAAAGUCUCUCUGAAUAACUAAUACUAAUGUGGAGGAUAAAGAAAUCAGAGUGAUCCUUGUUCAGGAAAGGACCAAUGUGAGAAGUGUGUAUGGUGGUGGAAAAGAAGAUCUGCUUGCAUUGAUAUUGCUGAAAGACAAGGAGUUGUCUCUUGAAUUUUCUCUAGGGAGUUUUUUUUUCUGUAUAUUCUCGUGUGCAGAUAAAAGAAUAAACAAGGUCAAGAAGAUGAUGAACUUAUUCUAAGUGUACCUUGCAUCCCAACAGGUUCUUCUUUCUUACAUAUUAUGCCCAACAGGAGAACAUGUUGAUUUUCAGGCUUUCACUAACUUCUUUUCCAAGGCUGACCGUACUUGGAUAUUGUCAACAGGGGAAGUUUGUAUUCUCUGGAGAGUUUAUAUCAAAUUUUGCACUGGCAGUCACUGGGAGGAGGUUCAAGGAGAGCAAACACACCACAUAUAUAGCACUAUUACUGAGCCUAUCCAGGCACUUAAAUGGCUUCUUCUGUGUGAGGCCCCUUACAGUGCAGAUAUUCUUAUCUCACAGCACUCUGAUAUAUGUCUCUGUGCUAUUAACA